GAUGAACGCUAGCUACAGGCUUAACACAUGCAAGUCGAGGGGAAACGACAUCGAAAGCUUGCUUUUGAUGGGCGUCGACCGGCGCACGGGUGAGUAACGCGUAUCCAACCUGCCCACCACUUGGGGAUAACCUUGCGAAAGUAAGACUAAUACCCAAUGAUAUCUCUAGAAGACAUCUGAAGGAGAUUAAAGAUUUAUCGGUGAUGGAUGGGGAUGCGUCUGAUUAGCUUGUUGGAGGGGUAACGGCCCACCAAGGCGACGAUCAGUAGGGGUUCUGAGAGGAAGGUCCCCCACAUUGGAACUGAGACACGGUCCAAACUCCUACGGGAGGCAGCAGUGAGGAAUAUUGGUCAAUGGGCGAGAGCCUGAACCAGCCAAGUAGCGUGCAGGAUGACGGCCCUAUGGGUUGUAAACUGCUUUUAUAAGGGAAUAAAGUGAGCCUCGUGAGGCUUUUUGCAUGUACCUUAUGAAUAAGGACCGGCUAAUUCCGUGCCAGCAGCCGCAGUAA
RNAcentral lists this ribosomal RNA (508 nucleotides) under uncultured bacterium. RNAcentral describes it as "partial 16S ribosomal RNA". It matches the Rfam family "Bacterial small subunit ribosomal RNA", at positions 28 to 523 of the family's 1533-position model. The record is from RNAcentral.